AGUGAACGCUGGCGGUAGGCCUAACACAUGCAAGUCGAACGGCAGCACAGUAAGAGCUUGCUCUUACGGGUGGCGAGUGGCGGACGGGUGAGGAAUACAUCGGAAUCUACUUUUUCGUGGGGGAUAACGUAGGGAAACUUACGCUAAUACCGCAUACGACCUACGGGUGAAAGCAGGGGAUCUUCGGACCUUGCGCGAUUGAAUGAGCCGAUGUCGGAUUAGCUAGUUGGCGGGGUAAAGGCCCACCAAGGCGACGAUCCGUAGCUGGUCUGAGAGGAUGAUCAGCCACACUGGAACUGAGACACGGUCCAGACUCCUACGGGAGGCCGCAGUGGGGAAUAUUGGACAAUGGGCGAAAGCCUGAUCCAGCCAUACCGCGUGGGUGAAGAAGGCCUUCGGGUUGUAAAGCCCUUUUGUUGGGAAAGAAAAGCAGCAGGUUAAUACCCCGCUGUUCUGACGGUACCCAAAGAAUAAGCACCGGCUAACUUCGUG
This 492-nucleotide ribosomal RNA is filed under the name uncultured bacterium. RNAcentral describes it as "partial 16S ribosomal RNA". It matches the Rfam family "Bacterial small subunit ribosomal RNA", at positions 29 to 507 of the family's 1533-position model. The record is from RNAcentral.